UAAGAAUUUGGCGGUAUCUUAUAAAACCAGGGGAACCUGUCUCAUAACUCGAUAGUCCCCGACUACCAAACCCCCGUUAGAAACCCAGCUUGUAUACUGCCGUUGUAAGCACACCCCUAAGAGAAAGUGUGCCACUACGAUUAAAUGAUUAUUAACUCGCGCACAUCAGGUCAAAGUGCAGCUAAUGUGGGGGAGAUGAUGGGUUACAACCUUAAAAAAGACACGGACUAAAAAAUAAAAAUAAUUAUAAAGGAGGACUUGGAUGUAAUUAAAUAGCACCAUAAAUUAAUGAA
Molecule: ribosomal RNA, 293 nt
Filed under: Terrisswalkerius millamilla
Lineage: Eukaryota; Metazoa; Annelida; Clitellata; Crassiclitellata; Megascolecidae
Description: partial 12S ribosomal RNA
Source: RNAcentral